AGCGAACGCUGGCGGCAGGCCUAACACAUGCAAGUCGAACGAACUCUUCGGAGUUAGUGGCGGACGGGUGAGUAACACGUGGGAACGUGCCUUUAGGUUCGGCAUAACUCAGGGAAACUUGUGCUAAUACCGAAUGUGCCCUUCGGGGGAAAGAUUUAUCGCCUUUAGAGCGGCCCGCGUCUGAUUAGCUAGUUGGUGAGGUAAAGGCUCACCAAGGCGACGAUCAGUAGCUGGUCUGAGAGGAUGAUCAGCCACAUUGGGACUGAGACACGGCCCAAACUCCUACGGGAGGCAGCAGUGGGGAAUCUUGCGCAAUGGGCGAAAGCCUGACGCAGCCAUGCCGCGUGAAUGAUGAAGGUCUUAGGAUUGUAAAAUUCUUUCACCGGGGACGAUAAUGACGGUACCCGGAGAAGAAGCCCCGGCUAACUUCGUG
This 433-nucleotide ribosomal RNA is filed under the name uncultured bacterium. RNAcentral's name for it is "partial 16S ribosomal RNA". It matches the Rfam family "Bacterial small subunit ribosomal RNA", at positions 29 to 507 of the family's 1533-position model. The record is from RNAcentral.